RNAcentral lists this ribosomal RNA (254 nucleotides) under uncultured bacterium. RNAcentral's name for it is "partial 16S ribosomal RNA". It matches the Rfam family "Bacterial small subunit ribosomal RNA", at positions 524 to 776 of the family's 1533-position model. The record is from RNAcentral.
UACGUAGGGUGCAAGCGUUAAUCGGAAUUACUGGGCGUAAAGCGUGCGCAGGCGGUUUUGUAAGUCUGAUGUGAAAUCCCCGGGCUCAACCUGGGAAUUGCAUUGGAGACUGCAAGGCUAGAAUCUGGCAGAGGGGGGUAGAAUUCCACGUGUGAGCAGUGAAAUGCGUAGAGAUGUGGAGGAACACCGAUGGCGAAGGCAGCCCCCUGGGCCUGCACUGACGCUCAUGCACGAAAGCGUGGGGAGCAAACAGG